GAUAUACAUUACCUAUAUAGGUGCGAACGAGGGGACUUGAAACAUCUUAGUACCCUCAGGAAAAGAAAUCAAUAGAGAUUGCGUCAGUAGGGGCGAGCGAAAGCGCAAGAGGGCAAACCCAGUGCUUGCACUGGGGGUUGUAGGACUGCAAUGUGCAAGAGCUGAGUUUAGCAGAACAUUCUGGAAAGUAUAACCAUAGAGGGUGAUAGUCCGUAUGCGAAAAACAAAGCUUAGCUAGCAGUAUCCUGAGUAGGGCGGGACACGAGGAAUCCUGUCUGAAUCCGGGUCGACCACGAUCCAACCCUAAAUACUAAUACCAGAUCGAUAGUGCACAAGUACCGUGAGGGAAAGGUGAAAAGAACUGAGGUGAUCAGAGUGAAAUAGAACCUGAAACCAUUUGCUUACAAUCAUUCAGAGCCCUAUGUAGCAAUACAGGGUGAUGGACUGCCUUUUGCAUAAUGAGCCUGCGAGUUGUGGUGUCUGGCAAGGUUAAGCAAACGCGAAGCCGUAGCGAAAGCGAGUCUGAAUAGGGCGCUUAGUCAGAUGCUGCAGACCCGAAACGAAGUGAUCUAUCCAUGAGCAAGUUGAAGCUAGUGUAAGAACUAGUGGAGGACUGAACCCAUAGGCGUUGAAAAGCCCCGGGAUGACUUGUGGAUAGGGGUGAAAGGCCAAUCAAACUUCGUGAUAGCUGGUUCUCUCCGAAAUAUAUUUAGGUAUAGCGUUGUGUCGUAAUAUAAGGGGGUAGAGCACUGAAUGGGCUAGGGCAUACACCAAUGUACCAAACCCUAUCAAACUCCGAAUACCUUAUAUGUAAUCACAGCAGUCAGGCGGCGAGUGAUAAAGUCCGUCGUCAAGAGGGAAACAACCCAGACAACCAACUGAGGGCCCUAAAUCUUACUUAAGUGGAAAACGAUGAGAAGUUACUUAAACAACCAGGAGGUUGGCUUAGAA
RNAcentral lists this ribosomal RNA (951 nucleotides) under Salmonella enterica subsp. enterica serovar Schwarzengrund. RNAcentral's name for it is "bacterial LSU rRNA". It matches the Rfam family "Bacterial large subunit ribosomal RNA", at positions 140 to 1111 of the family's 2925-position model. Lineage: Bacteria; Pseudomonadati; Pseudomonadota; Gammaproteobacteria; Enterobacterales; Enterobacteriaceae. The record is from RNAcentral.